GAUAUCACGGUUGAAUAUCAUCAC
RNAcentral lists this non-coding RNA (24 nucleotides) under Arabidopsis thaliana (thale cress). The record is from RNAcentral. Lineage: Eukaryota; Viridiplantae; Streptophyta; Magnoliopsida; Brassicales; Brassicaceae.